Long non-coding RNA from Strongylocentrotus purpuratus (purple sea urchin), 753 nucleotides. RefSeq annotates it as NADH dehydrogenase [ubiquinone] 1 beta subcomplex subunit 2, mitochondrial. The record is from RefSeq and is a predicted model, not a curated record. The transcript is spliced from 4 exons. Lineage: Eukaryota; Metazoa; Echinodermata; Echinoidea; Camarodonta; Strongylocentrotidae.
CGUAGGGGAGAUUGUGCAUGCAGAUCUCGGACGAAUACUUCGUAUUUUGCUAGUUUUUUCACCCUUUCCCUCCCGACUCCAAAAUGUUUGGUUUAAGCAGAAUUAAUCACGGCUUGCGUAUGAUCUCAGGAAUCAACAGAGCUGCACCCUCGAGGAAUGGUAGUGCAGUGUACCGUGGCGCUAUGGCUCCAUCUAGGACCAGACAGAUUCAAGGAAUGGCCGUCGUCUCGGCCAUGUGGUUCUGGAUACUCUGGAGAUUUUACCACGAGCCUGCCGAUGUCUUCGGUCAUUUUGAGUAUCCAGAUCCAUCAAAGUGGACCGAUGAAGAGCUGGGAAUUCCCCCUGAUGAUGAGGAUUGAUGUUAGUUAGAGCAACUUAGAAUAUAGGACCUGUAUAUAGCUCAAAGCCUUAUGUCGAUGGAGUUGAAGAGGACACAUGUCAAAGCUGAUUCUAUUGAUCUGUAGGAGUUAUCACUUGAUGUUGAUUGGAGACAUCUAAAUGAACCUUCCCCAUCAACCUACAGCAAUGAGCCAUCAUGUAUGGAACUGCCCAAAUUGUGGAGUGUAACAGAUGCUAGUAAUAGCAAUGGACAGGUCAAAUGAAAAUCUCAAUAUGUGGGACUGUUGAUAAUAAAAUUGCAAUAUAGCUUAUGACACUGUAAAGAUAGAGGGUCGUUUCUCAUAACUUUAGCCGGGACUAAGUCCAGACUAAACAAGAAUUUUAGUUCACACAUCUAUGGAAUGCUAGGUUUCA